Molecule: long non-coding RNA, 714 nt
Organism: Lemur catta (Ring-tailed lemur)
Lineage: Eukaryota; Metazoa; Chordata; Mammalia; Primates; Lemuridae
Exons: 4
Source: RefSeq, a predicted model, not a curated record
AAGCAGCAGUCUUCGGUUCUUCUCCUCUGGGAAGGGUGUUGAACCAGCAAGAGAAAUACAGUCAAUGCCUUACCAGUGCAAAUAGCAGUCACCAAAGGUAAGCAUCCUUCCAGAGAGCUGCAGAUUUCUUCAAAGCCCUGUGGGAGAAGUAAAUGAAGUCAUCAGCAGGCGAGAUUGUAAUGUAAAAGGGGCUUCUCCAUGAAAUUUACUCCUCUGCCCUGUUCAGGGCAAUGCUAUCAGUUCCAGCUAUAUCUGAGAAAUGCCGUUCUCUGUUCACCAGUGGAGAGGGGUCAGAUACACCAAAUUGCUUUUAGCAGCCCAGCCUGAUUCAGAGGUUUAUGUCCCACUGGACCCUGAGGUAUCUACAUUUGCAACACUGGACCAGAUGAUUCCACAGUCUCUCCCACCACGUUUUAAAGGACUAACAUGAAAGAAAGGAUGAGGGAACCCUUUGCACAGCUAAAAGAUCUCUUUUCUCCUCUGACAAUCCCAGAUAUACCUUAGAUAAAAAGGAUGGGAAAAGCCCCUCCCCUGAAUAUUCCAAAGGGAUUGGCUUUCCAAGUGUCAUCGUUUUCUCUUUCUUUGUUGUGUGUCCACAUAACUGACCCAUUGGUGAAGUAUUGCCAGAUACGAUUUGGAAAUUGCAUCAGAGACUGGGUUUCAUUUUGAUUAUUUUGUAACUUUGGCUCUACAGAGACAGGUAUUUAUGUUCUA